Molecule: ribosomal RNA, 114 nt
Filed under: uncultured bacterium
Lineage: Bacteria
Description: partial 16S ribosomal RNA
Source: RNAcentral
ACAACCGGCCCGGCGGUGGCAGGAAAGAACGGUUUCGGGAUCGUAAAACUCGUCUUUCUGGUAGGGAAGAAGAACGGACGGUACCACAGGAAGAAGCCCCGGCUAACUACGUGC